This 301-nucleotide ribosomal RNA is filed under the name uncultured bacterium. RNAcentral describes it as "partial 16S ribosomal RNA". It matches the Rfam family "Bacterial small subunit ribosomal RNA", at positions 509 to 807 of the family's 1533-position model. The record is from RNAcentral.
CAGUCGCCACGGUAAUACGUAGGGUGCGAGCGUCAAUCGGAAUUACUGGGCGUAAAGCGUGCGCAGGCGGUUAUAUAAGACAGAUGUGAAAUCCCCGGGCUCAACCUGGGACCUGCAUUUGUGACUGUAUAGCUAGAGUACGGUAGAGGGGGAUGGAAUUCCGCGUGUAGCAGUGAAAUGCGUAGAUAUGCGGAGGAACACCGAUGGCGAAGGCAAUCCCCUGGACCUGUACUGACGCUCAUGCACGAAAGCGUGGGGAGCAAACAGGAUUAGAUACCCCCGUAGUCCCUGUCUCUUAUAC